UACGUAGGGUGCGAGCGUUAAUCGGAAUUACUGGGCGUAAAGCGUGCGUAGGCGGUUCGCUGUGUCCGAUGUGAAAGCCCCGGGCUUAACCUGGGAAUGGCAUUGGAAACUGGCGGGCUUGAGUGCGGCAGAGGGGGGUGGAAUUCCGCGUGUAGCAGUGAAAUGCGUAGAUAUGCGGAGGAACACCGAUGGCGAAGGCAAUCCCCUGGGCCUGCACUGACGCUCAUGCACGAAAGCGUGGGGAGCAAACAGG
This 253-nucleotide ribosomal RNA is filed under the name uncultured bacterium. Its description in RNAcentral is "partial 16S ribosomal RNA". It matches the Rfam family "Bacterial small subunit ribosomal RNA", at positions 524 to 776 of the family's 1533-position model. The record is from RNAcentral.